GUCCUAGCCGUAAACGAUGUGCGCUAGGUGUGGGGGCAGGCCUUGCCCCCGUGCCGCAGCCAACGCAUUAAGCGCACCGCCUGGGGAGUACGGCCGCAAGGCUAAAAACUCAAAGGAAUUGACGGGGGGCCCGCACAAGCAGCGGAGCAUGUGGCUUAAUUCGAAGCAACGCGAAGAACCUUACCAGGGCUUGACAUGCGCCUGAAGCGCGGGAAACCGCGUGGCCGAGAGGAGGGCGCGCAGGUGGUGCAUGGCUGUCGU
RNAcentral lists this ribosomal RNA (261 nucleotides) under uncultured bacterium. RNAcentral's name for it is "partial 16S ribosomal RNA". It matches the Rfam family "Bacterial small subunit ribosomal RNA", at positions 793 to 1055 of the family's 1533-position model. The record is from RNAcentral.